CGGUGAAUACGUUCCCGGGCCUUGUACACACCGCCCGUCAAGCCAUGAAAGUUGGGGGUACCUAAAGCAUGUUACCGCAAGGAGCGCGUUAGGGUAAAACCGAUAAUUGGGGCUAAGUCGUAACAAGGUACCC
Molecule: ribosomal RNA, 133 nt
Filed under: uncultured bacterium
Lineage: Bacteria
Description: partial 16S ribosomal RNA
Rfam family: Bacterial small subunit ribosomal RNA
Source: RNAcentral